This 558-nucleotide long non-coding RNA is filed under the name Pogona vitticeps (central bearded dragon). RNAcentral's name for it is "lncRNA (ENSPVIG00000012187.1)". Lineage: Eukaryota; Metazoa; Chordata; Lepidosauria; Squamata; Agamidae. The record is from RNAcentral.
UUCUCUUUGCAUAUGAGGGCUCUUUCAUUUUUCUUGAAGGAUGCAUGGGAAGUCUCCUGAUAUAGAAUUAUGCCCAGAAACCAGAACUCCCCCUUGGCCUCUCUUGUCAAACUCCUGUUACCUCUCCCUGUUUGCUCACUGUGGUCACUCACAGCCUGAGAUCUUUCCCAGUUUUAUUCUUCUUCUCUGCUCUCUCUGCCUUUGUCUCCUUGUUCUCCCCUUUUUCUUCUGUUUUUUUCCUCCAGUAGACUCUUUCCUUACUGCUUCUGCCAUCAUAUGCAAUUUCAUGUGCUUCUUGUUUUACAUGGCAGCAGGCCUUUGACGUCAGUCCUGCAUAUAAUACGGAAAUCCAUCAUUGCUGAUAUAAACCGUCAGAUAUGUGGUGUCCUGAAUGCUGUCUAUGAUGUGGCAAAGGCGUCUCUCUUGGACACUAUGAAUGUGCCCCUUCCUUUGGGCCCCUACGCAACUCUGAGGUGUGCGCUGGCAGGGCUGCCCUCUGUCUUUGGCACCUACGCUGCUGUAGAUAUAUAUGUAAGUAUCAAUGAAGUUGAUGGAUGA